GCUAAUUGGCAUUCACGUCACAGAAAAUACUGAUACUCAAUUCUGUAUGCUUUAUUUCAACAAAGAGAAAAGAACUCAUGACAAAAUAGAUAUCAGAAGAUGUGAUAUGAGUGUCAAUGAGACAACUCUCCAUCAAAGUCACAAUUUGUAAAAGAAAAACCAUUAUGUAUAGGUCAAAGAACUGUCUUCAACACGGAGACUAGCUUUUCUCACAUCG
RNAcentral lists this long non-coding RNA (217 nucleotides) under Mytilus galloprovincialis (Mediterranean mussel). The record is from RNAcentral. Lineage: Eukaryota; Metazoa; Mollusca; Bivalvia; Mytilida; Mytilidae.